ACGCAGCCACUGGAACGCACUUAAGUCCGAAUCUCGCGACAAUUACUACGUCACCCAGGUAAUUCUCGCCUACUCUUUUGGAUUCAUUCAUACUUUUUUGCUCGCCUACUCUUUUUCCCAUACUAAAUAGUAGGAAGUAUGCGGUUUGGAACGCAGCCACGGAUCAGAAAUCCAAAAUGGCGGCCACGUGCAACUAGCGCUCCACUCAUGAUUGACUGUGUUGCUACUGUUAUAUCUUUUUUGCAGAUCUCCUCCUUCAGUGAUGCUCCUCCUCCUCCUCCAGUGAAGCUCCUCCUUCAGUGAAGCUCCUCCCACUGCAGUUCACCAAUAAACGGAAUAUUCCCCUCAGCUACAAGUGAAGACGAGCAUCAAACCAUCAGGAAGAGCUAACACAAACACAGAGUUUAUUGAAGGACACUGAGAACAUGAGAUCCAGAACACUGCAGAAUGAAACACACUGAAGAACAAAGAGGUUCUGAGUGCUUGACAACUGUGAGGUGAGUGAAUUUUUUCUGACUCGUUAGUUUAGAUCGUAUUUGGAUAUAAAAUGUAUGAAAAAUAAGGGCGGUUAACUUUGAUUGA
This is a non-coding RNA of Pimephales promelas (fathead minnow), 582 nucleotides long. NCBI's taxonomy places the organism in Eukaryota, Metazoa, Chordata, Actinopteri, Cypriniformes, Leuciscidae. The record is from RefSeq and is a predicted model, not a curated record.